Molecule: non-coding RNA, 75 nt
Filed under: unclassified sequences
Description: RT-18 RNA
Rfam family: RT-18 RNA
About the family: Clostridiales (Firmicutes). Nearby to self-splicing intron genes
Source: Rfam by way of RNAcentral
CAGCCCUAGCUGAAAAUUACCGAACAGGCGCGGCUUAGUAAGCCACAAGCCCAAAGGCCGCGAGGUGAUAAGAAU